This is a non-coding RNA of Pelobates cultripes (western spadefoot toad), 913 nucleotides long. The record is from the annotation of a GenBank genome assembly. Lineage: Eukaryota; Metazoa; Chordata; Amphibia; Anura; Pelobatidae.
AUGAAAUGGUUUACAAUACACAAGUAGUCCUAAAGCCUGGGCUUGCACAAUAACAACUGUAAGGGCAAUAUAUGCAGCUAGCAUGUCUUGUGACCAGCAGACAUUUUCAGGGCUGUCAGAACGUACAGCCUCCCUUAGGAUUGAGUCAUAAUGGGAGCAUUCAGGGAUCCAUUGGUGGCAGUAAUUAAUCAUGCCGAGGAAUGUGAGCAACUCCUUCCGAGUAGUGGGUUUAGGAAUCCUCUGAAUGACCUCAAUACGUUUUGGACUCAAUUGUCUGGUGCCUAAAGCCAGAACAAAACCUAAGUAUUCAACCUUUGAUUUACACAAUUGCAUUUUGUGUUUAACAACCUUGUGACCCACAGUUGCUGACAGUAUCCACAGUGCUUGCCUCACAUCUAGGGCUACAUAACAACAAAUCAUCAACAUUUUGCAAAAAGGACGGAACCAUGACCGAUGGUCCAUGUUUUUUUUUUAGAGUAUGUUGGAGUACCAACGAAUAAACAGCUGGGGAAUCCACAUAGCCUUGGGUAAGCGUGUCCAGGUAAACUGACAGCCUUCAAAAAGUAAAAACCAUAAGUAGCUGUGUCUCUUGAUCAAUAGGUAUAGAAAAAAAUGCAUUACUUAAAUCAAUGACAGUGAAGCAAGUGGCAUCAUGUGGAAUGGCUGUAAUGAGGGAUGUCACAUCAGGGACAAUGGGUGCAAUGGGCACAAUUAAACUAUUCAGGGCUCUAAAGUCCUGAACUAAGCAAUAUGCUGGCCAGUGGUGUUGGGAGUGGGUCUGGUGUUGUUCUUGCCUACCGGGCAUAUUUUGAGAAUUGUGGGGUUUUGGGGUGUGUGGGGUUUCCUGGGGUGUGGACACUCAUUCCUCCACAGUUGAAACAAGUGUUCCUGUCUAUUCCUCCUUGGUUACCCC